Molecule: ribosomal RNA, 465 nt
Filed under: uncultured Peptostreptococcaceae bacterium
Lineage: Bacteria; Bacillati; Bacillota; Clostridia; Peptostreptococcales; Peptostreptococcaceae
Description: bacterial SSU rRNA
Rfam family: Bacterial small subunit ribosomal RNA
Source: RNAcentral
AGGCUUUGAUCCUGGCUCAGGAUGAACGCUGGCGGCGUGCCUAACACAUGCAAGUCGAGCGAUUCUCUUCGGAGAAGAGCGGCGGACGGGUGAGUAACGCGUGGGUAACCUACCCUGUACACACGGAUAACAUACCGAAAGGUAUGCUAAUACGGGAUAAUAUGCUUUUGUCGCAUGGCAGAAGUAUCAAAGCUCCGGCGGUACAGGAUGGACCCGCGUCUGAUUAGCUAGUUGGUGAGGUAAUGGCUCACCAAGGCGACGAUCAGUAGCCGACCUGAGAGGGUGAUCGGCCACAUUGGAACUGAGACACGGUCCAAACUCCUACGGGAGGCAGCAGUGGGGAAUAUUGCACAAUGGGCGAAAGCCUGAUGCAGCAACGCCGCGUGAGCGAUGAAGGCCUUCGGGUCGUAAAGCUCUGUCCUCAAGGAAGAUAAUGACGGUACUUGAGGAGGAAGCCCCGGCGUA